CUUUCGCCUCUGCAGUCGCGGGCGAAGGCGUUCGGCGCCUGCGCCUUUGCGCGCUCCGUUUACACGCUCCGGGGCCUGGAGACGCCGCGAGUUCCGGCUGUCGCGGCGGCUGCAGACCUCUGGGUCGGUUGCGACGAGUAACGGCGCCGGGGAUCGCUCUGCCCCCUCCUCCGACAUGUACCCGACCUGGGGCCGGUAUGGCGGGGCCAGCCAUUAUCCGCCGCCCCCGGUGCCUCCGCCGCCCCCGCCCGUGGGGCUCCCCGAGGCCUCCCCGGGGCCCGGCGGCUACUCGAGCGCGGCGGCGCCGGCGGCCCCUGCCUCCUCGGGCUUCCUGAGCUUCCGCGAGCAGCACUUGGCGCAGCUCCAACAGCUGCAGCAGAUGCACCAGAAGCAGAUGCAGUGCGUCCUUCAGCCCCAUCAUCUCCCCCCGCCGCCCUUGCCGCCCCCUCCGGUCAUGCCCGGAGGGGGCUACGGGGACUGGCAGCCGCCGCCUCCGCCGAUGCCCCCGCCGCCAGGGCCGGUCUUAAGCUAUCAGAAGCAGCAGCAGUACAAGCACCAGAUGCUCCAGCAGCAGCACCGAGACGGGCCCCCUGGCCCAGUACCCAUGGAACUGGACUCGCCGCCCGAAUCCCCCCCAGUGCCCCCCGGUUCCUACAUCCCUCCGUCCCAGACCUACAUGCCCAGUCAGCCCCCGCCUUCUUAUUUCCCCCAGUCCUCAUCCCAGUCCUACCUGGCACCAGCUCAACCAUCCCCUUCCCAAUCCCCACCCUCCCAGUCCUAUAUCGCACCUUCCCAAUCCACCUCUUCCUACUCCACCUCCUCUCAGUCUUAUUUGCCCCAUUCCCAGCCUUACUUGGCCCAGUCCCAGUCAUCUCCUUCCCACUCUUCACAGUCCCAUUCCAAAUCACAGUUGGCUCCACCACAACCCAGCCCUUCUGGUACAAGUACAACUGCCCAGCAAGAGCCAUUGGAGAGUGGUGCCAAGAACACAAGUGCUGAGCAGCCAGCCCCAGAUCCUUCCACUAUGACCCCACAGGAACAGCAGCAGUAUUGGUAUAAGCAGCACUUGCUUAGCCUGCAGCAAAGGGCUAAAGCACAUGCACAGGGACAGCAACCACUAAAGGGCCCUGGAGUAGUGAAAGAUGCACCAGAGCCAGUGAAAGAAGAAACUACAACAACCAGUCAAAUCCCUGAACCUCCUCCAUGUCAGGACCCCCCAUUACCACCCCCAAGUGAAGAGGUUCCACCUCCUCUCCCUCCUGAUGAACCCCAGUCUGAAGACUCUGAAGAAGAGGCCAGGUUAAAGCAAUUACAGGCUGCAGCGGCACACUGGCAGCAGCAUCAGCAUCAUCGAGUUGGCUUUCAGUAUCAGGGAAUAAUGCAGAAGCAUGCCCAGCUACAGCAGAUCCUACAACAGUACCAGCAGAUCAUACAGCAACCACCACAUAUACAGACUAUGUCUGUAGAUAUGCAGUUGCGGCAUUAUGAAAUGCAGCAGCAGCAAUUUCAGCAUCUAUUCAAAGAAUGGGAACGAGAGUUUCAGCAGUGGCAGGAACAGCUCCAUACCUAUCCUCACAAAGAUCAACUUCAAGAGUAUGAGAAACAGUGGAACUCAUGGCAAGGACAUUUAAAAGCUACUCAGUCCAGCCUUCAGGAGAAAGUGAGCACACUUCAGAAUGUGAAAAAUCAGUAUAUGGGAAGCAUGACAAUACCACCUCCAUUUGUUCCAUAUUCUCAAAUGCCUCCAGCAAUACCAACAAUGCCCCCUCCUGUAUUGCCUCCAUCUCUGUCAACAUCAUUACCACCACCAGUUAUGCCCCCUACUCUGCCUGCCACAGUACCCCCACCUGUGAUGCCCCCACCAGUGAUGCCUCCUCUACCAACAUCUGUUCCUCCACCUGGGGUGCCUCCAUCUCUGCCUUCAGCUGGACCUCCACCAGUUCUUCCUCCACCAUCUCUCUCUUCAACUGGGCCUCCACCUGUUCUUCCUCCACCAUCCCUUUCCUCAACAGCAGCCCCACCCGUAUUGCCUCCUCCACCUUUGUCAUCAGCAACACCCCCUCCAGGAAUGCCUCCCCCAAAUCUCAGUUCAGGAGUUCUUCCCCAAGGCUUACCCCCUCAAUUAACUACCACAUCAGUUCCACCAGCUACCAAUUCUCAAAGCUCAAAAGCUCCAGAUAAACCUAGACCAGCACUACUUCCCACUCCUAUAUCCUUUGGUUCUCCUCCUCCUUACCAUCCUCCAAUAAAAUCAUCCAUGGGCUCUUCAGAACAAGUGAACUCUAAAGUUCCUCUGCCGUUCAGUUCUUUCUCAUCUGAACAAGGACAUAUGGAAUCCAAAAUUCCUGCUACAGGAUCAUCACCUGCUUCAAAUCAGCCUGGGAGCACAAUUAAAGAUACACCAGUGAGAUCAGGUGGGCUGCUUCCAGAUCCUCCUAGAAGUGCUUAUUUAGAAGGUCCAAGAGGCGGUCCUAGGUUUGAUGGUCCUCGGGGAAGAUUUGAUGCACCCGGAACAAGAUGUGAAGGACCAAGACCUAAAGGACCUCGUUUUGAAGGACAUCGCUCAGAUGGGCCAAGACCCAAAUAUGAAGGGCACCAUCCAGAGGGUGGAUCUAAAAGCAAAUGGGGGACAAUUCCCCGGGGGCCAGCAUCUCAAUUUUAUAUUUCUCCAAAUACUUCUCAGGGCCCUCGACAAAGUGGACCACAGUGGAGAGGUUCUAAGCCACCUUAUGGGCAACAGCAGCAUCCACCCAAAUCACAAGCAGAAUCUCAUCUAGGAAACAAAGACUCUUUAACAGACCCCAGCACUGGUCAACAAAAGAACAGAAUGUCGCCAACUCCAUUUUCUCUUUCUGCAGAUGUGAAGGAUUCUAAGUCAUUUCAGUCCAAUGAGAAACUAAAAGAUACUCAGCAUGAUGUUCCCCAAACUGAAGUCCAAACAGGACCUAAUGAUCCUUCUAACUGGAACCAGAAUUCUCAAAAUAUGGAGAAACAAAUAGACAAAACUGGUCAAUCUAUACCUGGACAAUGCCAGAAACCUUUUGCAAACAAGUCUUCAUCUAUUCAAUCAACUUUCCCUUCACGAACAGGAGGAAUGGAUGGGGGAGGACCACCACCUAUUCCAUCGUUAACUGCAAAUAAUGAUUUAAAAUCUGUCAGUGUUGGUAUCCCCCAAUUAGAAAAUAACCAGGACAAAGGUUUGCCUCGGCUAGAUAACAGAGAUCAUAGACCAGAAGGCAAUAGAGGUAGCAGUUCAUCUUACAGAGGUAGGGGACAAGGAAGAAUUGAAGACAUGAGGGAUAAGAAUUUGACAAAUAGAGGGAGAGGACAAAUAAUCAAUCAAGGUCCUGGAAUGGGCAAACCAGAAGACAUUAGAGAGAAGGUGAUAGGCAGAAGAGAAGAGAGUCGAGAGAAAAUGGGCAGACAAGAAGGUAGUCGAGAGAGGGUGAUGGGAAGACGAUCAGGCAGUCGAGAUAGAGGGUUAGGGAGGCUGGGAAGUGGUAGGGAAAAAAUUCCAGGUCAGACAGACAUACAGGAUAGGGGGAGAGCAGGUAGCCGAGAAAGAGGACCUCCCCGAAGAGCCAACAGUCAAGAGAGAGGACCUCCUAGAAGGGCGGGGAGCCGGGAGAGAGGACCUCCACUCCACAGGGCUGGAAGCAGAGAGAGAGGACCACCUCGACGCCCUGGAAGUCGGGAAAGAGGACUGGGCAGACCAGAAUUUGGUCGGGAUAAAGGUAUUCCCAGAUUAGAUUCUAAUGUAGAUAAAUCAGUUAGAAUUGGAGAUGGAGAAAAAAUGCCCCCUUAUCAUCGAGAUGAAGCCUCUCGAGCUCCCUGGAAUCAUGGAGAGGAUAGAGGGCAUGAAGACUUUCCAUUAGAUGGUAGAAAUGUUCCUCCUUUGGAAAGGGAAAGACUUGAUGAUUGGGACAGAGAAAGAUACUGGAGAGAAUGUGAACCAGAUUAUCAAGAUGAUGUAGAUCCUUACAACAGAGAGGACAGAUUUUCAUUGCCACCAUCUCGGUCCCAUGAUGUUGAUCGGCGAGGACCAUGGUGGGAUGAUUGGGAUAGAGAUCGUGAUAUGGAUCGUGACUUCAGGGAUAUGGACAGGGACAUGGACAGAGAUAGGGACAGGGACAGGGACAGAGACCGGAUGGGAAGACCUAUGGAUAUGUAUGAUCGAGAAUUGGAUAGAGAAUGGGACAGAGAUUACAUGAGACCAAUGGAUGACCAAGAAUCACAAUUUCAUGAACGUGAUAUUCCCCCCCUUCCACCUUUGCCUCCUCUGCCUCCUCUUCCACCUUUGGAUAGAUAUCGAGAUGAUAGAUGGAGAGAUGAAAGAGAUAGAGAUCACAUGUAUGAUCGGGACCUUCGUGAUAGGGGGGAAUUAAGAAUUCGAGAAUAUCCUGAGAGAGGAGAAACUUGGCGGGAAAAACGGGAUUACCUUCCUGAGCGAAUGGAUUGGGAGAGAGAACGAUUGUCAGACAGAUGGUACCCAUCUGAUGUAGACCGACAUUCCCCUAUGGGGGAUCAUAUGCCACCUCUUCCUUCGUCACACCAUUCUUCUGAAAUGUUGGGAUCAGAGGGAAACUUAGACUCUGAUCAGUCUAUUGGAGGUGUAAUGGUCCUCAGUCAACGGCAGCAUGAAAUAAUUUUGAAAGCUGCACAAGAAUUGAAGAUGCUACGAGAACAGAAAGAACAGCUUCAAAAACUCAAAGAUUUUGCUGCUGAGCCACAGGCACCUGACCUCCCCCUGCCACCGCCUGAGCCACCAAGAUUGCAGACUACAUCUGCACGGCCCCCUGGGAUCUUUCAGCCUCCAGGUUCCUACAGGCCACCUCCUCCUAUGGGUAAACCACCCCUUCCAGGGAUGAGACAGUCUGCUCCAUCAGCAAGACCAUCUAUUCCUAUAACAAGGCCACCUGUCCCAAUUCCACCUCCCCCUCCUGUGGUAAAGCCACAGCCUGCUGCUAUGGAACAAGAACGUUGGGAUGAAGAUUCUUUUCAUGGACUCUGGGAUACAAAUGAAGAUAAAGGACUGAAUUCAGAAUAUACCUCAGAAACAGGUCCACCACCUGUUGCAAUGAAAGCACCACCUAUUCAUCCUUCUAUUCCCCCUCCAAGCCCAAUUCCUGUUGUUAUGCAGUCAAUGUCUAAACCCCCUCCAGUGCAGCAGACAGUGGAUUAUGGCCAUGGCCGUGAUAUAUCCACCAAUAAAGUUGAACAGAUACCCUAUGGGGAGAGAAUAACUCUGCGUCCUGACCCCUUACCAGAAAGAUCAGCUUUUGAGACAGAGCACCCAGGCCAACGAGAUCGUUAUGAUAGAGAUAGGGAUCGUGAACCUUAUUUUGAUCGUCAGAGCAAUGUCAUGGUAGAUCAUAGAGAUUUUAAAAGAGAUCGAGAAACACACAGAGACCGAGAUCGUGAUCGUGCCAUUAUUGAAUAUGAUCGUGAUCGGUUUGACAGAGAUCGUCGUCCUCGGGAAGACCGGGCACCUCCAAUCACACCUUCUAGGACACAGUCUUAUCGUGAUAAAAAAGAUCAUUCCUCAUCCAGACGUGGUGGAUUUGAUAGACCUUCAUAUGAACGUAAAACUGACAGGCCAGCUUAUGACCAUGGACCUUCCAUGUUUGGAGGAGACCGAAGGACUUAUCCUGAGGAACGGAUGCCUAUGUCUACACCAUCACUAAGUCAUCAACCACCUCCAGCUCCUCGAGUAGAGAAGAAACCUGAAUCUAAGAAUGUUGAUGAUAUUCUAAAACCACCAGGCCGAGAGAGCAGACCUGAAAGAAUAGUCGUGAUAAUGAGAGGAUUACCAGGCAGUGGAAAGACACAUGUUGCAAAACUUAUUCGUGAUAAGGAAGUAGAGUGUGGGGGACCUGCACCUAGAGUACUCAGCCUGGAUGAUUACUUUAUCACUGAAGUGGAAAAAGAAGAGAAAGACCCUGACACAGGAAAGAGGGUGAAAAAAAAGGUGAUGGAAUAUGAAUAUGAAGCUGAUAUGGAAGAGACUUAUCGUACCAGCAUGUUCAAAACUUUCAAAAAGACCUUGGAUGAUGGUUUUUUCCCCUUCAUAAUUCUAGAUGCCAUUAAUGACCGAGUUAGGCAUUUUGAACAAUUUUGGAGUGCAGCAAAAACCAAGGGCUUUGAGGUAUAUUUAGCUGAAAUGAGUGCAGAUAACCAGACUUGUGGCAAAAGAAACAUCCAUGGACGAAAACUUAAGGAAAUUAAUAAGAUGGCUGAUCACUGGGAGACUGCACCUCGUCAUAUGAUGCGCCUGGAUAUUCGUUCUUUGUUGCAAGAUGCUGCUAUUGAAGAGGUGGAGAUGGAAGAUUUUGAUGCAAAUAUUGAAGAGCAGAAAGAAGAAAAGAAAGAUGCAGAGGAAGAGGAAAGCGAACUGGGUUACAUUCCGAAAAGCAAAUGGGAGAUGGACACAUCUGAGGCAAAGCUAGACAAGUUGGAUGGCUUGAGGACUGGUACUAAGAGGAAGCGGGACUGGGAAGCCAUUGCCAGUAGGAUGGAGGAUUAUCUUCAACUUCCAGAUGAUUAUGAUACCCGAGCUUCUGAACCUGGAAAGAAGAGGGUAAGAUGGGCAGACUUGGAAGAAAAGAAAGAUGCAGAUAGGAAAAGGGCCAUAGGUUUUGUGGUUGGACAAACUGACUGGGAGAAGAUCACAGAUGAAAGUGGUCACCUUGCUGAAAGAGCCCUCAAUCGCACCAAAUAUAUCUGAGACUUAGUUAUUGAAUGGAGUCCUUUUUGCCUUUAAGGAUGAUUGCUUUUAGGCACUCUGAAGUCAAGGACCUAUGGAGAUCCUUUGGGGGUCACAUCGCUUCCAAGUUCAGUUUUAUGUUUUGUUUCUGCUGCUUUAGUUUUUACAAGUUUCUCUAAAUAUUGGCAGAUGAUCUCCAGUGUCCCCCAAGAGAGGUGGUCUCGUGAAUGCCGUAGUGCACAGCAUGCAGUGCCGCCAAGCUCCUGAGAUCUUUGGUGAAACCUUGUUUGCUGUGGGGAACUGUCAUCACCAAAAGCUACCUCCCUGGGCAUCAACUGCAGUGGAUAACUAGAGACUUUUGAUAGCCUCUGGCUGAUUGGCCAUUGUCCAGCUGAUAGUAGUGAGUGAACUGCAGUGCAUUUAAGGUCUGUGACACUUCCUGCAGCAAGUUGACCUGAAGCACUAUGUAAGUGUGUCCUGGAUCCCUCAGCUAACACACUAGGUACUUAAACUACAUAGCCAAUUCUGGAUAUCACUGACUUAUUACUAUGUGUUAUGUGUAUCCCAUAGAGCUGGGAUACUUAUUGAAUAUAUCCAUUGUGGACAACAUAGAAAUUCAGCAUCCAGCCAAGGAGGGCUAGGAUAUAAUCCUAUGGAAUCCUUACUAAAUUCCAAAUGCCACAUGUAAGGUAAUCCUACAUAACAUGUGUGAAGCUAGCCAGUUGCAUUUAACUGAUGUAAUUUCAUAGACUCAGGGAAGAGAAUACUGGCAAAGAAAUGGUAAUAGUCCUAUUUAUUUUUUGCUUUCCCCAUCACUAAAGCUAUAUAUUCUUUGCACUUUCAUACAAAUGCAUGUUAAGCCCAGACCAGUAUUUUUCUGGCACAUUAUUCUGCAUUUCUUGCCUUGAAAAAGGACAACUCCUUUCCUCUAGUAGAUUCUUAAUUCUGAAAUAGCUCCUGUGGACAGUUGGAAGAUUUGAAUAUCUCAGGAAUGUCACUGUCCAGUUUUGAAAUGAUUUUAUAAAUGGGUUUCUUCCAGGAGGGGUCUGAGUCUUUCCCUGCUGUGACAGCAUUGAAGAACUCCUGCAGUGUCAGGCUGGCAAUUUCCAGGAACUGGUCUGGGACCUGCCGAGGCACAGAAAUGAACAAAUGACAAGGCCACUACACAUAUUAAACACUAUACAUUUCAUGGUGAGUGUUGGGAUAGGCACAACUGGCUUACUAAAGACAGCACCAAGGAGCUGAGAUCCUCCUUGACUUUUGUGGGGAUAAGGUUCAGGGUCCCCUUCAACAGACACUAAAGAAUAUAUUCAAACUAAAUGGUGGCCACAAAAAAAAUCUUCCCUUGAGCACACAAGGAACAUUCUAUAUUACCAUUUUUAUAAAUCACCUACAACAAAAUACCUUGCUGUCAUAAAGAAUCCAUGGUUCAAACACCAUGGCUUUUUUUCCCCAUUGUUUUCUUAUAAACCUGACAUAAUGAAUACUUUUGCUCAUACCUAAGCACUCCCAAAUCCUCCACUUCCCACCUCCAACUCCUUCCCUGUAAAGCCAACUCAAGUAUCUCAGAAUUCUUUGGUCCCCAUUGUCAACUGGGAGGCAAGCCCAGAAAUCUGAUUCAAGCCAGACUAUAAAAAGUGGACCCAAAUUCCUAGAAUGUCACCAUUAAUGCGCAGGCUACAUCUGUUAAUUCUGGCCUUAGAGACCCUGGACUUCACUGGCCUCUGCAUGUCAAAUGGUUGUACUGAAGUUUAGAGAUGUGGCAUUGAAUUUUCACAUUAAUUGUUAGUGCUUUGUUUUUUAAGUAAACCUGAAUAAAUCAAGUAAGGAUAUGAAACAGCUUUGCUAUUCCAUGUGCCAGUCAAAAGAAACUUUUUAAGAAUCAAGUUGAUAUAAUCAGGGAGCAGCCAGAAUUUACAGAAUCUAUGAAGGAUUGAGGAUAGAAAGCUCCCCAGACAGUUCUAUAUAAUCUUGGGGGAUUUACUUUACUUUUCUGGGACUGCUUCCUUGUCUGUAAAAUGAAAGGGUUAAAUGAGAUGAUCCCUAAACUCCAUUCCAGCUCUCAUUGAUAAUACUCAAGACAAAAGAAAGUCUAGUUCAAUUCUCUGGUUUCCAAAAAUCUUUUUGUAAUUGAGUACCUUGCCAACUGAAAGUCAAUAUCUCCUUUCCCAGAGGUAGUCAUUUACCUAUUUGUAAUUGUGACCAAAUACUGAUUGAUGGAUAGAUGAGUAGAUGAACAAAUCACUUAAUCAUGUAGUUUUUAAAAGGGGAGAAUCAUUAUGGAAUCAAUUCUGGCUCAGAGAAAACAAUAUAUUGUAUUAUAAUGAAUUGUCAGUGGUAGUUAAGAGAUUUGUCUGCUGUUUUGUAACAGAAACAUCAAUCAAAUAGGCUAAUUGUGCACUUGUAUUGACAGUUUUAUCACUGAAUUAUACAGAAAAUAUCUUCUUCAGAAAGAUCCUAAAAGAUUAGAAAUUUGAAUGUUGGCUAAAUAGUAACAUGAAGGUAGAUUUUUCUAUCUUUCCAGACCCAUAUUUUCUAAAUACAGUGAGACAAUGAAAUGAAGAUUUGUUCCACUCAAUUCUAUUCCUACUCUUUGGUGGUGGUAAUUUCUGGGUUAACUAUGUCUAGAUCAUUUUUCGUAAUCUUCCAUUGAUCUCUUAAGAAAAGCAAUAUCAUAUUCCCUUAAACUCUCAACAUUACCAACAAUAUUCCUACAAAUAUUGAUUAUAAUACCUUGUGAGAAACAAGGUAAUCUUACCUCAAAGUCAUUUCCCUUAUUAUAAUGCAUGUUGAGGGUCCGGAAGAGUUCUGAAUUCCUAAGAACUUUCAGCACAUUCGGAUUUGUGAUUCCCUCAGAGAUAGCUUGUCGGGCAAAUUUUUCCAUCUGGAUGUAGUAAAAUUCACGAAAAUUACUGAACCACUUAAUGAGCUGGGAGGUAAUGCAGCGAUUAAACUGAAAAAAAAAAUUAACAGGUCAAAAAAUUAAAAUGUGGUCUCCUAUUCUCAUGAGACCCUAAAAUAUAGAAUUAUAAACAGCCAGUUCAGAAUGGUGGGGUGAUAUGAAUGGCUUUUUGGCUUCUCAAAAAAGCUUUGCUUUUUAAAAAUUUUUGUGUCAUGGUUAUUUUCCAUGUCCUUCAUUUAGAAAUAGAACAAAAUCAAAGUUGUAUUGUCCAUUAAGAAAAAAUUACUUCUUUGACUUUCUCAGUUCCACUUGGUUGUGGUUUUUAGUUCCCAAAGUGAACACUUCAUUGUAUGCAGUUGGGAAAGAGAAGCAGCAAAAUAUAGAUCAGCAGAACCAAGUUCUUCUGCACACAGUUAGACCAUAUGACUGCUGUCAAACAUCCCACCAUACACCCAAAAGAGAAUAAGACAUUGAGGUAGUAUGUGUGUGUAGGGAUAAGAUUCAAGGAAAGAGCUUGUCAACAACAUUCAGCUACAAAAUAAAUGCAUUUGAGGAGGACUAAGUCAAAUUUUGCUUCAGACAGAACUCACAAUAUCACCUAUUAAAGUCCUUUUCAUCAUAGACAGGACCAAGAACAUAGGUCACUCAACAAAUUCUUCUUUGAUGAUUGAUAAACAGAAAUCCUAUUUCCAACAAACCAAAUCUGGGUUUCACUUUACUCUGUCAGGGCUGGCAUGUAUGGAUCCAUAGGUUAGGUCAGCCAACCCUCAUUCUGAAAUACUGGAAGUAGGAAAUAGAUAUAAAUUGCUAAUGGUACCAAAUGCAUUACUUCCAAUCAUUCUUUUUUCAAUGUUGUAUCUCAUUGAUUAGAACCUUUUCAGUGGCAAUAUUAGACCUCAUGGCUUAAUUUACUGGGGCAUUUGAGGGCUUUGGUCCAUAUGAGGAAUACUUGGACUGGGUUUCCUCCCCAUGCCCCAAUUAAAAGAAAAGUAAGAUGUAGUUAGAGGAUUUGUUGGUAUUCCUUGUCAAUCUGGUGCUUUCAGAACAAUAGGGAUGUUUUGUAUGCUAGAUUGUUGUAAAAUCAAUCUACAAAGAGUUAGGGGAGGAAAAAACUACAUUCCUAAAGCCUUCCUCCAGGGAUGUUCUGGUAAGAGAUUUACAACCAGCUCUCUGGCAGGAAGGGGGGAAAAGUGUGCAAAACAUACCUUAAGUUUAGUUGCAGCAUUAUUACCACUUUAAGUCUAGAAAUCAUCAAAGCAAUAAAUCAAGCCCUAAUUUAUAGCAUUUGCCACUAUUGAAGAUGCACGUGCUCACACUGAAAAUUUAAUAAUUGACUCUUAAGUGAACUAGCUCUAGCUAUCUCCAGUCAGCACACCUCUGCCUGCCUGCUACACUCCCCUCUGACUGGUGGUGAAUCAAGAUCAGGAUAGCCAGCCCUAUAACAGUUACCUAAGGGAAACUGUGAUUAUUCCUAGGACUGAUAACUCAACACUUAUCGUCUGGAUAGAAAAUGGAAAGAGACUUCUCCUGCUGCAUCUCUCUGUGUUAAAAUUUUGUCUGUGAACCUACUGAAUAAAAUUCCUGCAUGUAGCCCUGACUGGAUCAGAGCUCUCUAAUGAUCUUGUAACUCUGCUGUUAAAGUAAAUUACUAUAACUAGAGUGGUGUGUAGUGGGAAGAGCACUGUCCCAAGGCCAGAGACCAAGUCUUGGUCCUGGCACUGGGUUUCCAACAAGUCACUUGACCUCUACAGUAAGUUUCCCCAAAUGUGAAAUGAGGAAGUUGGACCAGAUCAUUAAGGUCCCUCCCAUCUCCUAAUAAUCUAUGAUUUUAAGACCUUCAAAUAAAUUUUUUUAAAGCUUGCUAAAACUUGUACUUAUUCUUGUCUACUUUGUAGCUUGUCUCUGCCUACUCAGCCUUCUUAAGGUCAAAUAAAGUUUGUAUUUCAUUGUAUUUUCUACAACUAACCACUUGGGGGAACUAAAGUACAUAAUUCGAAGUAGUAAGACUGCUUAGUUCUCUUCUCCCUAGCUAAGUAAAACCUGUAAAGUGUUUUCAAAAUUAUUAAUUGUUGGCAUUAGCUCUGCAAAUGAAUUGAAUUGCUUUUACCUGAACAUCAGGGAAAUAGGCUCUCAGGAGGCUAGAGCUUGGA
Sarcophilus harrisii (Tasmanian devil) is the source of this 11755-nucleotide RNA transcript. It is a transcript of the gene named YLP motif containing 1, with no coding region annotated. NCBI's taxonomy places the organism in Eukaryota, Metazoa, Chordata, Mammalia, Dasyuromorphia, Dasyuridae. The record is from RefSeq and is a predicted model, not a curated record. The transcript has 22 exons.